CAUAACCUGGUUGAUCCUGCCAGUAGUCAUAUGCUUGUCUCAAAGAUUAAGCCAUGCAUGUCUAAGUAUAAAUACCUUAUACUGUGAAACUGCGUAUGGCUCAUUAAAUCAGUUAUAGUUUAUUUGAUGAUACCUUACUACAUGGAUAACCGUAGUAAUUCUAGAGCUAAUACAUGCGUCAAGUCCCGACUCUUU
Molecule: ribosomal RNA, 195 nt
Filed under: uncultured eukaryote
Lineage: Eukaryota
Description: partial 18S ribosomal RNA
Rfam family: Eukaryotic small subunit ribosomal RNA
Source: RNAcentral